GGGAGGCAGCAGUGAGGAAUAUUGGACAAUGGGCGAGAGCCUGAUCCAGCCAUGCCGCGUGCAGGAAGACUGCCCUAUGGGUUGUAAACUGCUUUUAUACAGGAAGAAACCCACCUAUGUGUAGGUGGCUGACGGUACUGUAAGAAUAAGGAUCGGCUAACUCCGUGCCAGCAGCCGCGGUAAU
Molecule: ribosomal RNA, 184 nt
Filed under: uncultured Cytophaga ATT5
Lineage: Bacteria; Pseudomonadati; Bacteroidota; Cytophagia; Cytophagales; Cytophagaceae
Description: partial 16S ribosomal RNA
Rfam family: Bacterial small subunit ribosomal RNA
Source: RNAcentral